Paramormyrops kingsleyae is the source of this 385-nucleotide non-coding RNA. NCBI's taxonomy places the organism in Eukaryota, Metazoa, Chordata, Actinopteri, Osteoglossiformes, Mormyridae. The record is from RefSeq and is a predicted model, not a curated record.
GCUUCCGAGUCAAAUGGGACGUACGCGUUGUCUGCAACAAAGCAGCCCUGUAAAUAGAAGUAACAGCGUCAUUGAUGUCUCUGAAACUAUGCAAUAAAAUGUGACAGAGAAAAACUGUAUAAGAAGCAUUUUAUACGGAGCUUAUUACCGCUGGUUCACAGGAUGUUUCCUUCAUCUUGUGACACGCUGGUGGCUCUACCUCCAUCCACUGUCGGCCAGCGUGUUAUUUUCGGAAAGAACUCGGAUAGACCCUGUGACGAGGUGCAGGAGGUGCUGUAUUACCCUGCAAAGGACUACAGUGCAGGAGAAAAAGUCGAGUGCACGUACGUUGAGAUAGAGCAGGUCCCACACACCUAUGCGAUAGUGCUGAGUCGCCCUGCUUGGC